This 492-nucleotide ribosomal RNA is filed under the name uncultured bacterium. RNAcentral describes it as "partial 16S ribosomal RNA". It matches the Rfam family "Bacterial small subunit ribosomal RNA", at positions 29 to 507 of the family's 1533-position model. The record is from RNAcentral.
AGUGAACGCUGGCGGUAGGCCUAACACAUGCAAGUCGAACGGCAGCACAGUAAGAGCUUGCUCUUACGGGUGGCGAGUGGCGGACGGGUGAGGAAUACAUCGGCAUCUACUUUUUCGUGGGGGAUAACGUAGGGAAACUUACGCUACUACCGCAUACGACCUACGGGUGAAAGCAGGGGAUCUUCGGACCUUGCGCGAUUGAAUGAGCCGAUGUCGGAUUAGCUAGUUGGCGGGGUAAAGGCCCACCAAGGCGACGAUCCGUAGCUGGUCUGAGAGGAUGAUCAGCCACACUGGAACUGAGACACGGUCCAGACUCCUACGGGAGGCAGCAGUGGGGAAUAUUGGACAAUGGGCGCAAGCCUGAUCCAGCCAUACCGCGUGGGUGAAGAAGGCCUUCGGGUUGUAAAGCCCUUUUGUUGGGAAAGAAAAACAGCAGGUUAAUACCCCGCUGUUCUGACGGUACCCAAAGAAUAAGCACCGGCUAACUUCGUG